Molecule: long non-coding RNA, 819 nt
Filed under: Homo sapiens (human)
Lineage: Eukaryota; Metazoa; Chordata; Mammalia; Primates; Hominidae
Description: long intergenic non-protein coding RNA 885
Source: RNAcentral
CUUCUCUACCUCCGUAAAGAUGAUCUCUGAUGAACAGACAUGAUCAUGCCUGGAGAACAGGGAUGGACAGUCCCGCUUCUGAAAGACCCUGUCUGGCUGAUGAUUCAUGGUGCGCCGGGCAGACCCCAGGCCAAGAGACCCCACCCACAGUACCUGAGUGCUCAGCUGGGAACCAGACCAGACCUCAAAACAGGUUCCCAAGGUUACCACCCAACCCUGCCAACUUUCGCACCCCGCAAGGAGCAAGACCCCGCCCGCUCACCACCUGCCUGUGCAGCCAACGGGCCUCGCUGAGCUGCCCUGGGCCGCUCCCUCCAUUCACACAGUUGGCCCUCCCUCUCCCUGCCUCCCUUCGCCUACCCCACGAACUACUUCAUCCCUCUGGGCCGGCACUGUAGAAGCCCCAUUGUUCACAUCGACCUCCCAAUUAUCUCCUCUUUCCCUCUCCCUCUGCUCCUGCCCAGACCAGCCCCCCAGCAUUGACCUGGAUGCCUGCCACAGCCUCCUCCCUGGUCUCCGGCCUCCCACCUCUGCUCCUCGGUCUCCUCUACCCAGCCAGUAACUGCAGAGAGCACUAAAGCACAGUCCUGGCAUCUCACCCCCUUAACCCUGGCCACGGCUUCCCAGUGCCUCCAAGAUAAAGCACCAACACCUGAGGACAGCAGGUGGAUGUGAUUGCAAACAACAAAGCCUGAACUCAGAUGGGGAAAGAAUCAGUGGGGAUCAUAUUGUGUCAUGUCCAAGAGGUUCACAGAUCAAAUUCAGGCAUGGCUGGAUCCAGGCGUUCACAGCGUGCCAACAGAGAUCUUGCUGUCUCCA